GGGUCAAAAUACAUAAGGAUUGACUAGUCUGGCCCGCCGGACCAACCAUUUUUUUUGUGUGCCUGUGUAAUUAUACCCAAGUACUUUAAUCAAGAGGCAUGGUAGUGCCUCGCGCCAAGUGUAUGCGCAGCGAGGCACCACCGUGCUUCUUUUACGCGAGACGUCGUUUGCGAGAAGACCGUAGUUAUCGGAUCUCAAUAACGACUUAAUUGAUCGAUUUCUAAAUAGGCUUAAUGGAUAGCUUACAUCCGAUUUAUAUAAUAAAAGUGUUUUUAUUUUUCCGCUAUAUGACUUACGAGCGGAGGUAUCGCGAUUAGAAGUUUUCGCUCAAGAGUAAAUUUAGUUUAAGAAACGUCGUCAUCAUCAUCAUUAUUAUCGUCGUCGCCCGGCGCCUAGGACGAAUGGUGGGGAUUUGUACUGUUGUAUCCUCCUUUAUCUUUUGUGCUCACACAUUUGACAACAAGGAUGAACGAUGCACCAUGCGCCAUGAAACGGAACGCACCAUGUGUAUCGUGAUUGGUGAAAAUAAUCGAAUCCGCGCCGCCGCGUGUCGAUCGAGUGACAGUUCGAGGUUAGAGACGUGUUGACGUGUGCGAGGUUAGCGGCGAGUUAAUUUUUAUUAGUGUUAUGCAUAAUUAUGCAUAUUACAUCGUGGAGUACAUCGUGGAUUACAUUGUAGAGGGAAAUUUGCAUAAUCAGAUAAGUUAUACAGUUUUCAUUUUUUUAGAAUAAAUAAACUAUUCUGAGAUAAAAUUGAUACUUUGUGUUAUGUUUCCUUUUUUAGUUUAAAAGAAAGAGGAAGAAUUACAAAUCUUAUAAGCCAAUUCCAAAGAAGCUGAAGUUGACGGAAGAGCAGCAAGAAGCGUAUAAAAUCAUUAAUACUACAACCUUACUUACAAAGCUACUAGUUCUACGUUAUUUACAAAGCUACUAGUAUUGGAUAGUAAUGAUUUGUUCCAGUCAAAAUUUCUAUAUGUUUUAAAAGAAAGAGCAAGAAUUACAAAUCUUACACUGUCAAGGUGUAUCUUAAACUUAAACCAAUUUUAAAGAAACUGAAGUUGACAAAAGAGCAGCAGGAAGUGUACAAAUUCACUAAUUCUACAACAUUACUUACAAAGCUACUAGUUCCACAAUGUUACUGACAAAGCUACUAGUACUGAAUAGUAAUAAUUUGUUCCUGUUAAUACUACAAUGCUCACUAUUUAGUUUGGAUUUAAAAUU
Molecule: long non-coding RNA, 1221 nt
Organism: Monomorium pharaonis (pharaoh ant)
Lineage: Eukaryota; Metazoa; Arthropoda; Insecta; Hymenoptera; Formicidae
Exons: 2
Source: RefSeq, a predicted model, not a curated record